AUGACAACAGUGAAUCUGAACAAUCUUGGGUACACUGACGAACCGUUCGUCCUAGCCAAUGAUGUGGCACAGGUUAUCUAUGUGAAGGACAUGUCUACCAGACCGAGAAAGAGAAAAGAUAAGGAAGCGAAUACAUCAUACGACGAGCCAAAGCGCCACAUAGUUCUUUCAGGAAAAAGGGACAUUGUGGGAGUAGAGGGCAAGACAGACAUGUCUGAAGAUUAUGAAAAGUUUCAUGAAAUUCCUCCCUUCAAAGUCAAGGCUGACCCAAGCAUCCUGGUAAACGAUGAAGAUUAUCCAUCGUUACGGCGCAAUAAGCAAAUGACACAAGCGAAGAAAAAGUGA
This 345-nucleotide ribosomal RNA is filed under the name Triticum aestivum (bread wheat). RNAcentral's name for it is "partial small subunit ribosomal RNA". The record is from RNAcentral. Lineage: Eukaryota; Viridiplantae; Streptophyta; Magnoliopsida; Poales; Poaceae.